AGAUAUGUAGCUUAAUGUAGAUGCAAGGCUGAUUUGAAUGAGGCACUUGAGUUUACUUCACAAUAGUUUCAUACCUCAAGGCUCACGGCACACCCAAACAUACCAAAACACCCCAAAAUGACCCAAAACACUACAAAAUGACCCAAAACACCCUAAAACAUCCUAAAACGCAUCAAAACAUUCCCACACACCCCAAAACACGCCUAAACUAUCCCUAAACACUCCAAAAUAUCCCAAAACACCAUAAAACACCGCCACAGCACUCCUUGGAGAUAUUGUCAAAGAAUAUAUAUAAACAAGACUGCUUGCUUGCUUGUUUAAGAAAGUUGGGUGAAGAGAUUUAAGGGUGGGUAUAGAAGAAGAAAACAGUCAGAAAAUGAAGGAAAGAUGAAGAUAUACAGAUCGUGGUCAGGCCACGUUGCUAUUUUUCAUCUAGUGCGGUAGAAGUGUCUCGCUCGAUCUUAGGUUCAAUUACCCAGCCUAGAAGGUUGCCUCUUAAAUGUAAAGUUUCCUUGUUUUUUUUUUUUUUUUUUUUCCUUUUUCCUUUUCCUUUCCCUAUCCUUUUCCUUUUCCUUUCCUUAUCCUUUUCCUUUUUCUCCUUUCCCUUCUUGUUCCUUUUCCCCUUUCCACUGGCAGGCCACAACUAAAAAAAUAAAUAAGAAAAAUAAAACAAAUAGAACAUCCUAAUCCAACAGAUGGCAGUGGCUAAUAUUUACAUAUGUACACAGUGCAGGUGCAUAGAUUGUCUCUUAAGUCUCAAUGUGUUUGUUCUCAUACAAUUAAAGGACUGGGUUGUCUUAAGUUUUAAGGUCUCUUAUUCAAUGUUUUGAUGCUACCUUUGGCCCAGCCGAUUCCUCUCCUCCCCCCGCAGCCGGAUGCAGCAAGCAUUGACCGGUAGACACCACCCCUUGCCAGAACGGGGAAGAAGGUCCACAGGGAGCCACCUGCUCCACACACUGUGUUCUUGACCAACACGUCCCGCCCCAGCAACUCAGGGCGCGGAGCAGAGGAGAACAGCAAAGAUCGCAAAGCACGCAUCAUUUCCCUGCUACAGGAUGUCCUUCGGUGGUGGUGUCUUCUCUGCUAAAUAUCCAGAUCUAAUUUUCUUAAAUAUACUGUCAUCCACCAUGUGCCAGCAAGAGUUAUCCAUUUUGAUUUUAUUUGAUUCUAUUAAGUUCCGGGGGAAUUUGUGGAGAAAAGCUGAGUUCUUCAAGAUCUGUGGAUGUUUUGACUUGGAAUAGCUUGUCAAGAUCUUCAUCCGUGGAUGUUAUUACUACGUAGCCGUCAUUCACAGG
This is a long non-coding RNA of Portunus trituberculatus (swimming crab), 1295 nucleotides long. RefSeq lists it as uncharacterized. The transcript is spliced from 3 exons. NCBI's taxonomy places the organism in Eukaryota, Metazoa, Arthropoda, Malacostraca, Decapoda, Portunidae. The record is from RefSeq and is a predicted model, not a curated record.